UAUAGUUUGAGGUUACUUAGUUACUUAGGUUACUUUUAUAUAGUUUGAGGUUACUUAGUUACUUAGGUUACUUUUAUAUAGUUUGAGGUUACUUAGUUACUUAGGUUACUUUUAUAUAGUUUGAGGUGCCUUCGUUACUGUUUUAGCUCACCUGUAAUCUACUUUAUAUGUAUGUUUGUGAUCAAUCUAAACUUCUUGCGCGGUGUUGACUCAUCCGUAAGUUGCUUUCAGUAUGUUUGUGCUCUGUCUAAUACUCUGGUUUACUCACUCUAAAUUGCGUUAUUAAAAAGAUGGUUCAGCAAAAUGAUAUAGUCUCCAAUGCAAAUUUUACUGUUUGCUGCAUAGGAUUUGUUCUAAAUGGUUUUGGAUUGUUUGUUUUACUAAAGUUUCAAAAUGGUUAUAGUUUAACACAGCGGUACAUACUGAUCCAACUUUGUUUCAUCGAUUUAUGCUUAAGCGUAGUAUAUGGAUUUUAUAAUUUAAACUUAGACCACAUGAUUUUAAAUUUGCUUGAGUUAACUGUUAAUACAGGAUUUUAUUAUGCAACAUUUUGGUUGGUAUGCGACAGAUACUUACAUAUAAAAUUGAAUAUAAAAUACGUCGUCUUCUGGUCCAAAAAAAAAACUAUAAUUUCAGCUACGAUUGUAUGGAUUAUAUCUCUAUUGAGUUCAAUUUUAUUUUAUUAUAACAUUGUGCGUAACAGUGCUCUUAAUUAUGUCUGCUACGAUUUUAUUAUAAUUUGUUUUUCCACCUUUGUUUACACAUAUGCUUUAAUAAUUUUUCAUAAGCAAAAAACUAACGUUCGAUCAAACCAAAAAGGAAAAGGUAUACUUAAAGGGUUUGUCAUGACAAGUAUUUUAUUAACAAUAUUUGUACUUCUGGUUACCACACCUGACGUAAUAUGGACCUAUUAUUACUAUAGGCCUGUUUCUAAGUUCAUUUUUGUAUUUGCAAACCUACUUUUUCUUCUAUCUUUAUGGACUGAUGCAUUAGUUUAUAUAUUUGCUUCACCCUCAGUUAUAUUUUUUUUAAAAAAUCAAACACAAUGUUUGUUUAAAAAAAGAAGAACCAUUAUAAGAAGUGAGACGUGCGUUAUAAAUUUAUCGAUAAACGAAGAAAACACACGUUUUUAGCAAAACUAAGGUUAUCUAUCGUUCGGUCGGUGUAGCGAAAUGAAACACCUCAAAAAAUUAAUUUCCGAUUGAAACAUUUUAACUCCCUACUUGGUGUAGUUGUCUCAAUUUUAAAAUAUUAUAGCAUCUGUAUGAUGUUUUGCUGAUAACGACAUAUUUCCCUUGAAUGAUCAGGUUUGUGAAAAGACAAAAACAAUUAAAAUGAUAAGUUUUGCCGUAACAUAAAAUAAAAAUGUUUAUAGCAUAAAAACCCA
Non-coding RNA from Hydra vulgaris (swiftwater hydra), 1387 nucleotides. The record is from RefSeq and is a predicted model, not a curated record. Lineage: Eukaryota; Metazoa; Cnidaria; Hydrozoa; Anthoathecata; Hydridae.